This 300-nucleotide long non-coding RNA is filed under the name Manihot esculenta (cassava). RNAcentral's name for it is "long non-coding RNA (MESC_LNC010886)". The record is from RNAcentral. Lineage: Eukaryota; Viridiplantae; Streptophyta; Magnoliopsida; Malpighiales; Euphorbiaceae.
GAGGUGAGGAUCCAUGCUUACCUCUUGAAGAACUAGAGGAUUGAUGAUCCAAGCUUGGAGAUGGGGGAAAACUCACUCAAAAUCUCCAAGUACUCAACUUUGCUUCCUUUUGCUCAAAACUCUAAAACAAAACUCAAAUCAAGUUAAAACAUGCAAGAUUUGAGGAAAACAUGAGAAAUCACACCAAGGAGAACUUGAACCUACCUUUGACCCAAAAACAGAGUGUUUAACACUCAAGUCUCGGGCAAAGGGGCUUUUGUAGUGGCCAACCGACUCUCCUUCGGCGGCCUAACGUGCAUG